RNAcentral lists this long non-coding RNA (257 nucleotides) under Ananas comosus (pineapple). Its description in RNAcentral is "long non-coding RNA (ACOM_LNC039246)". Lineage: Eukaryota; Viridiplantae; Streptophyta; Magnoliopsida; Poales; Bromeliaceae. The record is from RNAcentral.
AACACUCCUUUGUCGUAGUAGAAUAGAACACUUUUAUGCCAUAAUAGAAUAGUUGUAAAGGUUAAUAGAACACUCUUAAUAGCUUUAUGGUUGUCAACACUCUUUUGUCAUAGUAGAAUAGAACACUUUUAUGUCAUAAUAGAAUAGUUAUAAAGGUUAAUAUAACACUCUUAAUAGUUUUAUGAUUGUCAACACUCUUUUGUCAUAAUAGAAUACUCUUAGAGCUUAAUAGAAUAGUUUUAUCAAGUUUACAGUUG